AGCAUUGAGAUGAUCUUUCCCUAGUACAAGAGAACCGGGAAGGUCCCACCUCUGAUGUACCAAGUAUCAUGCCCGCAGUAAAUGCUGGGUAGCCAAGUGCGGAGCAUAUAACUACUUAAAGCAUUUAAGUAGUGACCCCCCUCCAAGAUGAGUGCU
This 156-nucleotide non-coding RNA is filed under the name Solanum tuberosum (potato). Its description in RNAcentral is "Bacterial large subunit ribosomal RNA". It matches the Rfam family "Bacterial large subunit ribosomal RNA", at positions 2658 to 2812 of the family's 2925-position model. The record is from Rfam by way of RNAcentral. Lineage: Eukaryota; Viridiplantae; Streptophyta; Magnoliopsida; Solanales; Solanaceae.